Molecule: ribosomal RNA, 484 nt
Filed under: uncultured bacterium
Lineage: Bacteria
Description: partial 16S ribosomal RNA
Rfam family: Bacterial small subunit ribosomal RNA
Source: RNAcentral
AUUGAACGCUGGCGGCAGGCCUAACACAUGCAAGUCGAGCGGAUGAAGGGAGCUUGCUCCUGGAUUCAGCGGCGGACGGGUGAGUAAUGCCUAGGAAUCUGCCUGGUAGUGGGGGAUAACGUCCGGAAACGGGCGCUAAUACCGCAUACGUCCUGAGGGAGAAAGUGGGGGAUCUUCGGACCUCACGCUAUCAGAUGAGCCUAGGUCGGAUUAGCUAGUUGGUGGGGUAAAGGCCUACCAAGGCGACGAUCCGUAACUGGUCUGAGAGGAUGAUCAGUCACACUGGAACUGAGACACGGUCCAGACUCCUAAGGGAGGCAGCAGUGGGGAAUAUUGGACAAUGGGCGAAAGCCUGAUCCAGCCAUGCCGCGUGUGUGAAGAAGGUCUUCGGAUUGUAAAGCACUUUAAGUUGGGAGGAAGGGCAGUAAGUUAAUACCUUGCUGCUUUGACGUUACCAACAGAAUAAGCACCGGCUAACUUCGUG